Long non-coding RNA from Acipenser ruthenus (sterlet), 1030 nucleotides. RefSeq lists it as uncharacterized. The transcript has 3 exons. NCBI's taxonomy places the organism in Eukaryota, Metazoa, Chordata, Actinopteri, Acipenseriformes, Acipenseridae. The record is from RefSeq and is a predicted model, not a curated record.
ACGAGAGCGCAGUCUAUGUACAGCAGCUAUUUUACAGAUAUGAGUGAUUACAUGCUGUAACUGUAUGAGGGAUUCUGUCUUCCUUUUAAGAAUUUAAAUAUUCCUAUGUGUAAACUUUUGGACGAGCAGCGUAUAAGUAGAGUGUAGGCUGAACUUGGGCAAAGCAGAGAGGAGUUGAUUUGUAUGGUGCUGUUUUUUUAAGAUGUACGCGUUUUUUUUGUGUUUGUACGCACAUUUUAAGAUGUACGCUUUUUUUGUGUUUGUACGCACAUUUUAAGAUGUACGCGUUUUUUUUGUGUUUGUACGCACAUUUUAAGAUGUACGCGUUUUUUUGAGUUUGUACGCACAUUUUAAGAUGUACGCUUUUUUUGUGUUUGUACGCACAUUUUAAGAUGUACGUGUUUUUUUUGUGUUUGUACGCACAUUUUAAGAUGUACGCGUUUUUUUGAGUUUGUACACAAAUUUUAAGAUGUAAGCCUUUUUUGUGUUUGUACACAGAUUUUAAGAUGCAGGCGUUUUUUUAAAUUGCAGAAUGGUUGAUGACCUUCAUCGGCUUAUCAAGGAAGCCAAACUUCUAAAACCUUUCAUUAUAGUGGGCUGUGAGCUGGGGGCCCUCAUUGGGAGGUUUUAUAGUCAUAUACAUGACUGAAUCACCUGGCACCAGAGCCGAUGGAGAAGCCCCGCUGUCACCAGAGCCAGAAGGAGAAGCUCCGCUGUCUCCAGAGCUGAAGGAGAAGCUCCGCUGUCUCCAGAGCUGAAGGAGAAGCCCAGCUGUCUCCAGAGUCAGAGCCGAAGGAGAAGCCCCGCUGUCUCCAGAGCCGAAGGAGAAGACCUGCUGUCCCCAGAGCCAGAGCCGAAGGAGAAGCCCCGCUGUCCCCAGAGCCAGAGCCGAAGGAGAAGCCCCGCUGUCUCCAGAGCUGAAAGAGAAGCGCCGCUGUCUCCAGAGCCGAAGGAGAAGCCCCGCGGUCUCCAGAGCCGAAGGAGAAGCCCCGCGGUCUCCAGAGCCGAAGGAGAAGCCCCGCGGUCUCCA